This 900-nucleotide non-coding RNA is filed under the name Thaumarchaeota archaeon SCGC AB-539-E09. RNAcentral's name for it is "Archaeal small subunit ribosomal RNA". It matches the Rfam family "Archaeal small subunit ribosomal RNA", at positions 4 to 879 of the family's 1478-position model. The record is from Rfam by way of RNAcentral. Lineage: Archaea; Thermoproteati; Nitrososphaerota.
CCGGUUGAUCUCGCCGGACCCCACUGCUAUCGAGGUGAGACUAAGCCAUGCCAGUUGAACGCCUUUGGACUAUGGCAAAGGAGUAGCACACUGCUCAGUAACACGUAGCUAACCUACCCUUGGGACGGUGAUAACCCCGGGAAACUGGGGUCAAUAACUGAUAGGUAUGGAUUCCUGGAAUGGUUCUAUACUGAAAUGUUUGUAUACCCAUGUCGUGUGCAUAUACCCGAGGAUGGGGCUGCGGCCGAUCAGGCUGUUGGUGAGGUAACGGCUCACCAAACCUUUGACCGGUACGGGCCAUGAGAGUGGUAGCCCGGAGAUGGGCACUGAGACAAGGGCCCAGGCCCUACGGGGCGCAGCAGGUACGAAACCUCCACAAUUCACUAAAGUGAGAUGGGGUUACCUCGAGUGCCGCCUGAAAAAGGCGGCUUUUCCAUUGUGUAACAAGCUGUGGGAAUAAGGGGGGGGCAAGACUGGUGUCAGCCGCCGCGGUAACACCAGCCCCCCGAGUGGUGGGGAUGCUUAUUUGGCCUAAAGCGUCCGUAGCCGGCUCAGUAAAUCUCUCGUUAAAUCCAGCGUCCUAAGCGUUGGGCUGCGAGGGAGACUGUUGAGCUAGAGGGUGGGAGAGGUCAGCGGUAUUUCUGGGGUAGGGGCGAAAUCCAUUGAUCCCAGGAGGACCACCAGUGGCGAAGGCUGCUGACUAGAACACGCCUGACGGUGAGGGACGAAAGCUGGGGUAGCGAAUCGGAUUAGAUACCCGAGUAGUCCCAGCCGUAAACGAUGCAGGCUAGGUGUUGGGUUGGCCACGCGCCGACUCAGUGCCACAGGGAAGCCAUUAAGCCUGCCGCCUGGGGAGUACGGCCGCAAGGCUGAAACUUAAAGGAAUUGGCGGGGGAGCAC